GAUGAACGCUGGCGGCGUGCUUAACACAUGCAAGUCGAACGAUGAAGCCCAGCUUGCUGGGUGGAUUAGUGGCGAACGGGUGAGUAACACGUGAGUAACCUGCCCUUAACUCUGGGAUAAGCCUGGGAAACUGGGUCUAAUACCGGAUAGGAGCGUCCACCGCAUGGUGUGUGUUGGAAAGAUUUAUCGUUUUUGGAUGGACUCGCGGCCUAUCAGCUUGUUGGUGAGGUAAUGGCUCACCAAGGCGACGACGGGUAGCCGGCCUGAGAGGGUGACCGGCCACACUGGGACUGAGACACGGCACAGACUCCUACGGGAGGCAGCAGUGGGGAAUAUUGCACAAUGGGCGAAAGCCUGAUGCAGCGACGCCGCGUGAGGGAUGACGGCCUUCGGGUUGUAAACCUCUUUCAGUAGGGAAGAAGCGAAAGUGACGGUACCUGCAGAAGAAGCACCGGCUAACUACGUG
Molecule: ribosomal RNA, 466 nt
Filed under: uncultured bacterium
Lineage: Bacteria
Description: partial 16S ribosomal RNA
Rfam family: Bacterial small subunit ribosomal RNA
Source: RNAcentral